UGGGCACAAAGAGGGCAGUGGGAGC
Molecule: non-coding RNA, 25 nt
Filed under: Gallus gallus (chicken)
Lineage: Eukaryota; Metazoa; Chordata; Aves; Galliformes; Phasianidae
Source: miRBase by way of RNAcentral